This 59-nucleotide transfer RNA is filed under the name Ictidomys tridecemlineatus (thirteen-lined ground squirrel). Its description in RNAcentral is "Spermophilus tridecemlineatus (thirteen-lined ground squirrel) tRNA". It matches the Rfam family "tRNA", at positions 7 to 64 of the family's 71-position model. Rfam says of the family: Transfer RNA (tRNA) molecules are approximately 80 nucleotides in length. Their secondary structure includes four short double-helical elements and three loops (D, anti-codon, and T loops). Further hydrogen bonds mediate the characteristic L-shaped molecular structure. tRNAs have two regions of fundamental functional importance: the anti-codon, which is responsible for specific mRNA codon recognition, and the 3' end, to which the tRNAs corresponding amino acid is attached (by aminoacyl-tRNA synthetases). tRNAs cope with the degeneracy of the genetic code in two manners: having more than one tRNA (with a specific anti-codon) for a particular amino acid; and 'wobble' base-pairing, i.e. permitting non-standard base-pairing at the 3rd anti-codon position. Lineage: Eukaryota; Metazoa; Chordata; Mammalia; Rodentia; Sciuridae. The record is from Rfam by way of RNAcentral.
GAAGCUCAAUGGUAGAACAUCUGCCUAGCAUGCACAAGGUUCUGGGUUCAAUUCCCAGC